Molecule: non-coding RNA, 871 nt
Organism: Lactuca sativa (garden lettuce)
Lineage: Eukaryota; Viridiplantae; Streptophyta; Magnoliopsida; Asterales; Asteraceae
Source: RefSeq, a predicted model, not a curated record
UAAUCCAUAUUUUUUUAAGUUCCUUCUCUUUCUUGCUUACUCAUGGACUUUUCCUCUUUCGUGGUUGAUGUUUACACAUUCCACGUGUAUUGUUGCCGUUUAUUGUUUUCCGCUUUCCCGUUUCCUUUUUUCUUUUUCUUUUCUAUUCCUUUUUACUUCCUCCUCUGCUCCCGAUUUUCCUCCUCUGCUCUCCAUUUCCGCGUCCUUUGAUCUCUCAGUUGCAGGUAAUUUUCUUCUGCUCUUCUUCGCUUUUUGUCUUUGCUACGUUGGCCUCUGCUGUCGUAAUUUUCUUUCUUUUGUUGCCGUUGUGUCCUCCGGUUAUUUUCUGAUGGUUGUUCCGCUAAAGCGGACAGCUUACGACGCUGCUUCAUCUUCUGUUGUUGUUCCUGUAACUUGUCGGCGCAGGUCCCGUCGUUUUGAAGGCUUUUUUGUUCUUCCCCAAUGUGGUGAUUGUACGUGGGUUUGUGAGCGUUUAAGAGUUUGAAUUUAAGAGCAAUUAGUGGUUGCAUUAUUAGGCCAGCACGAUUGAAAUAGAUGCGUCACUUUGUUUACACAUCACCCAAGGAACAACUAUAAUUCUUUAACCGUAUUCAAAAGUGGUGAAUCGAAUUUGGUAUAUUAUAUGUUUCAUUCAACAGUAGGCCAUGUAUAAUAAGCAGUUAUGAUGCAGUUGCUAAGUGAUAAAGAAGAAAGCAAAUAAACAAAGACCUGGAAGUUUUCAAACAUUCGAUGAAAACUUAGGAUAAAGGAUUGGUAUUUGAGUAUCAACCAAAAUAUAAUAGUGCAAGGGUUGUUUAUAGAGAAAGAAAGAAGUAUGAUGAUGGAAUUGAUUGGAAUUUGUUUGUUGUUCCAUCUGCUGGAUCUCUUAAGG